This 3018-nucleotide ribosomal RNA is filed under the name Nicotiana tomentosiformis. RNAcentral's name for it is "bacterial LSU rRNA". It matches the Rfam family "Bacterial large subunit ribosomal RNA". Lineage: Eukaryota; Viridiplantae; Streptophyta; Magnoliopsida; Solanales; Solanaceae. The record is from RNAcentral.
GGUUUCAUUCGAUUUGUUAUGGAUUGGAUGAUGGAAAAACCAGCAAGCUACGGCUUCAAAGCUUACCUUAUUUAGAAAAGGUGAAAGGGCUUUUUUUAUAGAUGUUAAGGUUGAGUAAGGGGUUGGAGCUUGAAAAGCAAAGCGAGCCGCGCUAGCGUAGCAAUGAUUUUCAGCAGCAAGCUACGGUCUAACGAUCCCCUAACCUAGGUUGGGGCAAAAACUCCAAAAUAUAAAACAUUGGUUAGGGUUCCAAACCUUUCUCUAAUAAUAAGGUAAGCUUUGAAGCCGCCGCCCUUUAAAGGAGCGGGCACAGUGAAAUGUAAUUGUUAAAAGAUUGGAAGAUCUGGCCAAAGAAUGUGAUAGUGUAACUGUAAUUGUGAAAAGAUUGGAAGAGCGGGCGCAGUGAACUGUAACUCGGCGUGUUUGAAUUCUGAUCGCUUUAACGCGAGAAAGGGGGACCACCCUCUAAGCCUAAGUAUUCCUCAAUGACCGAUAGUGUACAAGUACCGUGAGGGUAAGGUGAAAAUAACCCUAUUUAGGGAGUGUAAUCAAUCGAACGAGCAGAGCUUAGAGCCUUUACUUUAUGUAAAGCGCACUCACUCUAACAGCGUACCUUUUGUAUGAUGGGUCAGUGAGGAAAUGGGGACCGAUUUGACCCAAAAUCGAUCGAUCUAGCCAUGAGCAGGUUGAAGAGAGCUCUAAUAGGACUUGGAGGACCGAACCCACGUAUGUGGCAAAAUACGGGGAUGACUUGUGGCUAAGGGUGAAAGGCCAACCAAGAUCGGAUAUAGCUGGUUUUCCGUGAAAUCUAUUUCAGUAGAGCGUAUGAUGUCGAUGGCCCGAGGUAGAGCACUCAAUGGGUUACGGUGGCCUAAUUUUGCCUUACGAACCCCAGGGAAACUCUGAAUACAGGCCUAGAUCGUUUGUACAGACAGACUUUUUGGGUUCUAAGAUCCAAAGUCGAGAGGGAAACACCCUAGAUCGUACGCUAAGGUACCUAAGCAAUCACUAAGUGGAAAAGGGAGUGAUCGAGCAAUGAUAACCAUGAGGUGGGCUUGGAAGCAACCAUCCUUUGAAGAAAGCGUAAUAGCUCACUGGUCUAGCUCCAUGGCACCGAAAAUAUAUCACGGCUCAAGUGAUUCACCGAAGCUACGAGACCUUGAAAGCUGCUUUUUCAAGUGUUAGUAGCGGAAUGUUCUGUCAAUCGGGGAAGGUUUUUGGUGACAAGACCUGGAGAUAUCAGAAGUGAGAAUGCUGACAUGAGUAACGAAACAUCCUGUGAAAAACACGAUCACCUGCCACUGGAAGGUUUUUUGCAUUUAAUCAAUCUACGCAGAGUGAAUCGGUCCCUAAGGAACCCCCGAAAGUGUUGUCGUCUGAUGGGUACACGAAAGUGACAAAGUUGCUUUGACUACAGAACCAUGCCUGUCUGUUGGAGCGAAUUGGAUGAUUGGGCCGAGGGCUGCCCCCUCUUCCCCUCACUCUCCUUUCCCUAAUCUGAACCUUGAGUCAUCAAAGCCUUUCUGUCUCGGCCUGGCCCGAUCGCCGUACGUGACUGGCGCUUCAAAAGGCGAAACUCUCGGUCGUAUUUUGGCGACCUAUCUUUAGUAGGGGCCUUUAGUCUUUUGAUUAGAGUAGGGGUCACGAUAGAGCCGAGCGUACCGCCCUGCCAUAGUCUCGAGUCUGUUUAUAGUCGCGACUGUUGUCAUAGUCAACAAGGUUGAAACUUCCAGGAAAAAACUUCGAAUUGGGAGGGCGAUCCUCCCGCUGAACUGACCGUACCCCAAACCGACAUAGGUGACCAAGUAGAGUAUACUAGGGCGCUUGAUAGAACAAUGUCGAAGGAACUCGGCAAAAUGACCCCGUAACUUCGGGAUAAGGGGUGUUCUCCUACCUUUUGAUUAGGAAAGAGGCACAUUCCAGGGGGAAGCGAUUGUUUAUUAAAAACACAGGACUCUGCUAAGUGGUAACACGAUGUAUAGAGUCUCACACCUGCCCGGUGUUGGAAGGUCGGAAGGAGAAUUGUUAUAUUCUUUGAAUGGAAGCCCUGGUAAACGGCAGCAGUAACUCUAACUAUCCUAAGGUAGCGAAAUUCCUUGCCGCAUAAGUAGCAACCUGCAUGAAUGGUGUAACGACUGCCUCAAUAUCUCCGACAUGGACCCGAUGAAAUUGUAUUCUUCGUGAAGAUGCGGAGUACCAACGGCUAGUGGGUAAGACCCCGUGCACCUUAACUAUAGCUUCGUAGUGACAACCUUAAUCAAAUGUGUAGGAUAGGUAGGAGGUGUUGACACACAACAACCAAUCUUGAAAGACCACUCUUUCAUCUAAGGAUGCUUAACCGCCGCACCGAUCAUUUAGGGGGAUGCGGGACACUACGAGGUGGGUAGUUUAUCUGGGGAGGAUGCUUCCUAAAGAGUAACAGAGGUGUGCGAAGGUAGGCUCAAGCUAAGAUUCUUCUCGUUAGCGUAAUGGUAUAAGCCUUCCUGACUGUGAGACCGACUGGUCAAACAGUGAUGAAAGUCGGCUAUAGUGAUCCGGGAGUCCCGUGUGGAAGGGCUCUAGCUCAAUGGAUCAAAGGUACACUGGGGAUAACAGGCUGAUGACUCCCAAGAUCUCUUAUUGUCGGAGUCAUUUGGUACCUCGAUGUCGACUCAUCACAUCCUGGAGUUGAAGAAGGUCCCAAGGGUUCGGUUGUUCGUCAAUUCAAAUGGUACGUGAGUUGGGUUUAGAACGUCAUAAGACAGUUUGGUUACUAUUUACCGUUGGUGUUAAAAGGAGAACUGUGAGGAGCCAACCCUAGUACGAGAGGACUGGGGUGGGCUAACCUAUGGUGUACCGGUUGUUAUGCCAAUAGUAGUGCCGGGUAGCUAAGUUGGUACGGAAAAACUGAUGCGAAGCGGGAAAUCCUUCUCUAUACAAGUUCUCGGAUGAGGUUUUUGAACAAAAUUUUGAUAGGCGAGAGGUGUAUGCACCCCGAGGUAUGAAGCAAUCUCGUACUAAACGAAAUGACUUUCACUU